UCCCUUUGUAUCCAUCUAUCCAAUUAACAGCUAAAAUGGCUCUCUCCUCACUUUCUUUGAUGUUUCUUCUUGAAUUUUCUUUCAUGUCAUUCUUCGCCCAUUCUGGUUUAGCUCGUGAUUUCUCAAUUGUGGGCUAUACCCCUGAAGACUUGACGUCCGGGGAUAAGAUCAUCGAUCUCUUUGAGUCAUGGAUAUCAAAACAUGGGAAGAUUUAUGAGAGCAUAGAAGAAAAAUGGCUCAGGUUUGAGAUUUUCAAAGAUAACUUGUUCCACAUUGAUGAGACCAAUAAGAAGGUCGUUAACUACUGGCUUGGAUUGAAUGAGUUUUCCGAUUUGAGCCAUGAAGAGUUCAAAAACAAGUAUCUUGGCUUGAAGGUUGACAUGUCUGAAAGAAGAGAAUUUUCUCAGGAGUUCAAUUACAAGGAUGUCAUGAGCAUCCCAAAGUCAGUGGAUUGGAGAAAGAAAGGAGCUGUUACUGAUGUCAAGAACCAGGGGUCAUGCGGUAGCUGCUGGGCCUUUUCAACAGUAGCAGCAGUAGAAGGUAUAAAUCAGAUUGUUACAGGAAAUUUGACAUCCCUGUCCGAGCAAGAGUUGGUCGAUUGUGACACCACUAACAACUAUGGGUGCAAUGGAGGACUUAUGGAUUAUGCAUUUUCUUACAUAAUCUCCAAUGGUGGACUCCACAAGGAGGUAGAUUACCCAUAUAUCAUGGAAGAGGGCACCUGUGAGAUGAGAAAGGAAGAAUCAGAGGUAGUGACCAUUAGUGGAUACCAUGAUGUGCCACAAAACAGUGAAGAAAGCCUGUUGAAGGCACUUGCCAACCAGCCCCUCAGUGUGGCCAUUGAGGCUUCUGGCAGAGACUUCCAGUUUUACAGCGGGGGUGUUUUUGAUGGUCAUUGUGGAACUCAGCUAGAUCAUGGAGUGGCAGCCGUUGGGUAUGGAUCAACCAAUGGCUUGGAUUACAUUAUCGUUAAGAACUCUUGGGGAUCUAAAUGGGGAGAAAAGGGUUACAUAAGGAUGAAGAGAAACACUGGCAAGCCUGCAGGGCUUUGUGGUAUCAACAAAAUGGCAUCUUAUCCCACUAAAAAGAAGUAACAUGCUAAAUGGUCUCUGCUCUUGUCUUCCUCUUUCAAUUCCCAUUUCUGGAAUCUGGAUCUCAUCGGAUGAUGUCUUGUAGUAAAUUGAUAUUCUAAAUGUUUAAUCACUCAAGUUGUUGUUGUCUUUUUCACA
Populus euphratica (Euphrates poplar) is the source of this 1229-nucleotide RNA transcript. It is a transcript of the gene named xylem cysteine proteinase 2-like, with no coding region annotated. NCBI's taxonomy places the organism in Eukaryota, Viridiplantae, Streptophyta, Magnoliopsida, Malpighiales, Salicaceae. The record is from RefSeq and is a predicted model, not a curated record. The transcript is spliced from 5 exons.